UACGGAGGGUGCAAGCGUUAUCCGGAUUCACUGGGUUUAAAGGGUGCGUAGGUGGGUCUGAAAGUCAGUGGUGAAAUCUCCGGGCUCAACCCGGAAACUGCCAUUGAUACUACAGGUCUUGAAUUUUCUGGAGGAUAGCGGAAUAUGUCAUGUAGCGGUGAAAUGCUUAGAUAUGACAUAGAACACCAAUUGCGAAGGCAGCUUACUACGGAUAUAUUGACACUGAGGCACGAAAGCGUGGGGAUCAAACAGG
RNAcentral lists this ribosomal RNA (253 nucleotides) under uncultured bacterium. RNAcentral's name for it is "partial 16S ribosomal RNA". It matches the Rfam family "Bacterial small subunit ribosomal RNA", at positions 524 to 776 of the family's 1533-position model. The record is from RNAcentral.